UACGGAGGGUGCAAGCGUUAAUCGGAAUUACUGGGCGUAAAGGGUGCGUAGGUGGUACGAUAAGUUAUCUGUGAAAGCCCUGGGCUCAACCUGGGAAGGCCAGAUAAAACUGUUGAACUAGAGUAUGGGAGAGGGUAGUGGAAUUUCCGGUGUAGCGGUGAAAUGCGUAGAGAUCGGAAGGAACACCAGUGGCGAAGGCGGCUACCUGGCCUAAGACUGACACUGAGGAGCGAAAGCGUGGGGAGCGAACAGG
RNAcentral lists this ribosomal RNA (253 nucleotides) under uncultured bacterium. Its description in RNAcentral is "partial 16S ribosomal RNA". It matches the Rfam family "Bacterial small subunit ribosomal RNA", at positions 524 to 776 of the family's 1533-position model. The record is from RNAcentral.